This 497-nucleotide ribosomal RNA is filed under the name uncultured bacterium. Its description in RNAcentral is "partial 16S ribosomal RNA". It matches the Rfam family "Bacterial small subunit ribosomal RNA", at positions 28 to 507 of the family's 1533-position model. The record is from RNAcentral.
GAUGAACGCUGGCGGCGUGCCUAAUACAUGCAAGUCGAGCGAACGGACGAGAAGCUUGCUUCUCUGAUGUUAGCGGCGGACGGGUGAGUAACACGUGGAUAACCUACCUAUAAGACUGGGAUAACUUCGGGAAACCGUAGCUAAUACCGGAUAAUAUUUUGAACCGCAUGGUUCAAAAGUGAAAGACGGUCUUGCUGUCACUUAUAGAUGGAUCCGCGCUGCAUUAGCUAGUUGGUAAGGUAACGGCUUACCAAGGCAACGAUGCAUAGCCGACCUGAGAGGGUGAUCGGCCACACUGGAACUGAGACACGGUCCAGACUCCGACGGGAGGCAGCAGUAGGGAAUCUUCCGCAAUGGGCGAAAGCCUGACGGAGCAACGUCGCGUGAGUGAUGAAGGUCUUCGGAUCGUAAAACUCUGUUAUUAGGGAAGAACAUAUGUGUAAGUAACUGUGCACAUCUUGACGGUACCUAAUCAGAAAGCCACGGCUAACUACGUG